Molecule: ribosomal RNA, 354 nt
Filed under: uncultured beta proteobacterium
Lineage: Bacteria; Pseudomonadati; Pseudomonadota; Betaproteobacteria
Description: bacterial SSU rRNA
Rfam family: Bacterial small subunit ribosomal RNA
Source: RNAcentral
UACGUAGGGUGCGAGCGUUAAUCGGAAUUACUGGGCGUAAAGGGUCCGCAGGUUGUUUUGUAAGUCAGAUGUGAAAUCCCCGGGCUUAACCUGGGAACUGCGUCUGAAACUACAAGGCUAGAGUAUGGCAGAGGGGGGUGGAAUUCCGCGUGUAGCAGUGAAAUGCGUAGAUAUGUGGAGGAACACCGAUGGCGAAGGCAGCCCCCUGGGUCAAUACUGACGCUGAGGGACGAAAGCAUGGGGAGCAAACAGGAUUAGAUACCCUGGUAGUCCAUGCCCUAAACGAUGUCAACUAGUUGUCGGGCCUUUACGGGCUUGGUAACGUAGCUAACGCGUGAAGUUGACCGCCUGGGG